Nycticebus coucang (slow loris) is the source of this 1177-nucleotide long non-coding RNA. RefSeq lists it as uncharacterized. The record is from RefSeq and is a predicted model, not a curated record. The transcript has 2 exons. NCBI's taxonomy places the organism in Eukaryota, Metazoa, Chordata, Mammalia, Primates, Lorisidae.
CUUUUAAGAUAACAGCAUUUUUUCAUGGGGGUCUUUCAGAAUCCUUACGUGAAAGCUAGAGAAGGCAUGGUGCUCUUCCCAGGAUUCACAUUUCUGUUUUAAAGACUGGAUGAUGCUGUAUGGUUGUUUGCAAGCUUAUUAAAUUGGAAGGUAUCCCAAAUAAAGGUCCUCAGAAAUGGAGGCACACGUAGAUGACGGCUAAGGACAUGCUCACGAAGGCAAGUCUGUAGGCAGCUGGUUAUUCAGUCUUUCUCUUCGGCCUCUCUCUCUUGGCAUUCUACCUUCAUCUGGAAAAAAAUUUAAAAGCAAGUUACUCUAUAGGCCCUCACUCAAGCGCCUGACUUCCCUGGGAAGUUUGAUUCUCGCAUUCAAAAUACAUGUGGAAUUUGGUUCAGUUAAAUUUUAUGACACCAGAAUUGUUGUAAAGCAAUAAAUUAUUAUUGUGUAAUUUGUUUCUGUUUGUUAUCUUAAAUAUUAGUGAUUUCUGUUUUUAACUUCGAGGGAAAACAAUAGGCUAUUAACUUUUCUUAACCUUCGAUGCAGAGCUCCAGCUGAGCUAGCAAAGGACAUUGCUGCAAAGAAAAACUGUCUAUUUUUUUCUUUAACAAUUUAACUUUCUUUUAUCCUUGAAAAUGUAUCACUAUAAAUGUUUUACAAUCAGGGCUGUUUCUUUUCUGCAUCAUACAGAUUGAUUUGUAUAGAUGUACAUGCAUGGCUAUUAAAUAUAUGUUGUUAUAAAGUGGUGGGUGUCAGUACAAUGAUGUUACUAAUAAAUAGCAGCUAACAGAGCACAUCCUCUGUGCCAGGCACUGUUGUAAGCAUUUUACAUAGAGUUGCUCAAUGUAAAACCACUUUUAUCUGGUUGUCUUUAUUUUUCUGGCAAAACUCUUAAGAAUCUAUGCUAUAAUAAAUUCCACAAAUCAGCCUUUACCUCCCCAGCAAGAAUAGCUAGAAUUCCAAGUUUUUCUAUUUAUUAAUUUGAGUCUCAGAGGCUGUCAACUUUUUAGAUUCAUGCUGUUGGCAAAGUUUGAUCUGAAUACACAGCAAGUAUCUGCUUUGUUUAUCUUAGAAUAUAAAGUAGUAAACAAAAUGUAAGAUAACUUUGUGCUUAGUAUAAGCCCUUAAUGUUAGCUUCACUGAAAUAGGAGAUGCAAUAAAAAUAUUGAUUUGAAGUCUG